CCAGACGGCCGGACGACCGCUGCCAGUCCCGAGAGGGGCGGUGGAGGAAAGUCCGGGCUCCAUGGGAAAACGGUGCCGGCUAACGGCCGGCGGGGGCGACCCCAGGGACAGUGCCACAGAGAAGAGACCGCCCGCGCCGCCGAGAGGCGCUGCGGGCAAGGGUGAAACGGUGGGGUAAGAGCCCACCGCGCCCCUGGCGACAGGGGCGGCACGGCAAACCCCACCGGGAGCAAGGCCGAAUAGGGAUGGCCGGAGAGAGCCCGCGAGGGCUCGUCGCCAGGGGCUUCCCGCCCCGCCAUCCGGGUUGGCCGCGAGAAGUCCCCGGCAACGGGGACUCCAGAGGAAUGGUCGUCCGGUCCGCAAGGGCUGACAGAACCCGGCUUACAGGCCGUCUGGCAAU
This 400-nucleotide RNase P RNA is filed under the name Muricoccus pecuniae. RNAcentral describes it as "Roseomonas sp. N75 Bacterial RNase P class A". It matches the Rfam family "Bacterial RNase P class A". From Rfam's summary of the family: Ribonuclease P (RNase P) is a ubiquitous endoribonuclease, found in archaea, bacteria and eukarya as well as chloroplasts and mitochondria. Its best characterised activity is the generation of mature 5'-ends of tRNAs by cleaving the 5'-leader elements of precursor-tRNAs. The record is from Rfam by way of RNAcentral. Lineage: Bacteria; Pseudomonadati; Pseudomonadota; Alphaproteobacteria; Acetobacterales; Roseomonadaceae.